CCUACGAGUGGCUGCAGUGAGGAAUAUUGGUCAAUGGGCGGAAGCCUGAACCAGCCAAGUAGCGUGCAGGAUGACGGCCCUACGGGUUGUCAACUGCUUUUAUACGGGAAUAACGCGCCUUACGUGUAGGGCUUUGCAUGUACCGUAUGAAUAAGGACCGGCUAAUUCCGUGCCAGCAGCCGCGGUAAUACGGACGGUCCGAGCGUUAUCCGGAUUUAUUGGGUUUAAAGGUCGCGUAGGCCGCAUGUCAAGCGUGCUGUGAAAUGUCCGGGCUCAACCCGGGCCUUGCAGCGCGAACUGGCGUGCUUGAGUCCGCGGAAAGCAGGCGGAAUUCGUCGUGUAGCGGUGAAAUGCUUAGAUAUGACGAAGAACCCCGAUUGCGAAGGCAGCUUGCUGCAGCGGAACUGACGCUGAUGCUCGAAAGCGCGGGUAUCGAACAGGAUUAGAUACCCGGGUAGUC
RNAcentral lists this ribosomal RNA (460 nucleotides) under uncultured bacterium. Its description in RNAcentral is "partial 16S ribosomal RNA". It matches the Rfam family "Bacterial small subunit ribosomal RNA", at positions 338 to 795 of the family's 1533-position model. The record is from RNAcentral.